This 523-nucleotide ribosomal RNA is filed under the name uncultured fungus. Its description in RNAcentral is "eukaryotic LSU rRNA". The stretch from base 173 to 326 matches the Rfam family "5.8S ribosomal RNA". The record is from RNAcentral. Lineage: Eukaryota; Fungi.
UCCGUAGGUGAACCUGCGGAAGGAUCAUUAUCGUAGGGCUUCGGCCCUGUCGAGAUAGAACCCUUGCCUUUUUAAGUACCUUUCGUUUCCUCGGCAGGCUCGCCUGCCGAUGGACCCCCCAAAAAACACUUUGCAGUACCUGUAAUAGUCUGAACAACAAACAAAAAAUUAAAACUUUCAACAACGGAUCUCUUGGUUCUGGCAUCGAUGAAGAACGCAGCGAAAUGCGAUAAGUAGUGUGAAUUGCAGAAUUCAGUGAAUCAUCGAAUCUUUGAACGCACAUUGCGCCCUUUGGUAUUCCUUAGGGCAUGCCUGUUCGAGCGUCAUUUAAACCUUCAAGCUCAGCUUGGUGUUGGGUGACUGUCCGCUGCCCUCGGGUGCGGACUCGCCUCAAAAUCAUUGGCGGCCGGUACAUUGGCUUCGAGCGCAGCAGAAACGCGAACUCGAGGACGUUGUAUUGGCUCCCAGAAGCUAUCUUCAUAAUUUUGACCUCGGAUCAGGUAGGGAUACCCGCUGAACUUAA